This is a long non-coding RNA of Suricata suricatta (meerkat), 794 nucleotides long. RefSeq lists it as uncharacterized. The transcript has 7 exons. The record is from RefSeq and is a predicted model, not a curated record. Lineage: Eukaryota; Metazoa; Chordata; Mammalia; Carnivora; Herpestidae.
GCCGGGCUGGCAGGUGAUGGAGCGGAAAAGAGAUCUUUGUCCUUGUGAGUAUGGAUUUAUGUGGACCUGACAUAUAAGUGUAUCGAACACAACAACUGAACCUUGAACUAGUAUCAAAAGAUGGGGAGUCAUCAUUUGUGGACUUCAGAGGAAAAGAUGAACCAUCAAUCAACAAAGAAGCUACAUCUGCCAAUGUAAGGACAUUUAUAAAUGCUGCCAAUAAUGUGCAUUUCAAUACCAUGCAUCAAUGUGUUGUGUUAUCUUACAUGCAGCAUCAGGUCAAGAAAUAGAACACGGCUGCCCUGGUGUCUCUUCUUGUCUCAACUUCCUCCCUCCUCACUGAAGGGACAGAUCUCCAAUGCCUGAAAUGGAGACAUUUGCUGGAUGAAUAAUUGCUAUGUAUAGAAAAGCAUGACAAAGGAGCUACCAGAACAAAGAAUAAAAGGAACAUCGAACUUGUGUAUGGAGGUCAGAAAGGCUCCGCAAGAGAGGUGACUCCUUGUACUUAAUCUUGAAGCAAAUCAGGUGAUUUUGGCUGAAAGACCUAAUGUUUCAAGAGCAAGCAAAUGAGAAAUACAGAAAAAUGAAAUGCACAAGAAACUCGAGUCCAAAGGCAUAGAGAGAGAUGUAAGAGAAUGGCACAUAUGGAAAACUGAACUUAUGGCAAGAAAUAUUGGUUGCUGGUAAUUGUUUAUGCUGGCUGGGUGAUGGGUUCUUGAGGUUUGUUACACCAUUCUUUCUCUAUGUUUAAAAUUUCCCAUGAUACAAAGUUAAGAAUAAAUGAAUAAACCGGU